GCACUCCACCUGGGAAGUACGGUCGCAAGACUGAAACUCAAAGGAAUUGACGGGGGCCCGCACAAGCGGUGGAGCAUGUGGUUUAAUUCGAAGCAACGCGCAGAACCUUACCAGGUCUUGACAUCCACGGAACCCUGGUGAAAGCCGGGGGUGCCCGCAAGGGAGCCGUGAGACAGGUGCUGCAUGGUCGUCGUCAGCUCGUGUCGUGAGAUGUUGGGUUAAGUCCCGCAACGAGCGCAACCCUUGUUGCUAGUUGCCAUCAGUUCGGCUGGGCACUCUAGCGAGACUGCCUACGAAAGUAGGAGGAAGGCGGGGAUGACGUCUGAUCCGCAUGGCCCUUACGACCUGGGCGACACACGUGCUACAAUGCCUGCCACAAAGCGCUGCGACCCGGCAACGGGAAGCCAAUCGCAUAAAAGCAGGCUCAGUUCGGAUUGGGGUCUGCAACUCGACCCCAUGAAGCUGGAAUCGCUAGUAAUCGCGGAUCAGCCAUGCCGCGGUGAAUACGUUCCCGGGCCUUGUACACACCGCCCGUCAAGCCAUGGGAGUGGGUUUUGCCUGAAGUCGCCGGGAGCCACAGGC
Molecule: ribosomal RNA, 582 nt
Filed under: uncultured bacterium
Lineage: Bacteria
Description: bacterial SSU rRNA
Rfam family: Bacterial small subunit ribosomal RNA
Source: RNAcentral